GGGGGUGUAGCUCAGUGGUAGAGUGCUUGCCUUGCAUGUGUGAGGCCCUGGGUUCCAUCCUCAGCACCACCU
RNAcentral lists this transfer RNA (72 nucleotides) under Marmota monax (woodchuck). It matches the Rfam family "tRNA". Rfam says of the family: Transfer RNA (tRNA) molecules are approximately 80 nucleotides in length. The record is from Rfam by way of RNAcentral. Lineage: Eukaryota; Metazoa; Chordata; Mammalia; Rodentia; Sciuridae.